RNAcentral lists this ribosomal RNA (514 nucleotides) under uncultured bacterium. RNAcentral describes it as "partial 16S ribosomal RNA". It matches the Rfam family "Bacterial small subunit ribosomal RNA", at positions 28 to 523 of the family's 1533-position model. The record is from RNAcentral.
GAUGAACGCUGGCGGCGUGCCUAAUACAUGCAAGUCGAGCGAAUGGAUUAAGAGCUUGCUCUUAUGAAGUUAGCGGCGGACGGGUGAGUAACACGUGGGUAACCUGCCCAUAAGACUGGGAAACUCCGGGAAACCGGGGCUAAUACCGGAUAACAUUUUGAACCGCAUGGUUCGAAAUUGAAAGGCGGCUUCGGCUGUCACUUAUGGAUGGACCCGCGUCGCAUUAGCUAGUUGGUGAGGUAACGGCUCACCAAGGCAACGAUGCGUAGCCGACCGGAGAGGGUGAUCGGCCACACUGGGACUGAGACACGGCCCAGAAUCCUACGGGAGGCAGCAGUAGGGAAUCUUCCGCAAUGGACGAAAGUCUGACGGAGCAACGCCGCGUGAGUGAUGAAGGCUUUCGGGUCGUAAAACUCUGUUGUUAGGGAAGAACAAGUGCUAGUUGAAUAAGCUGGCACCUUGACGGUACCUAACCAGAAAGCCACGGCUAACUACGUGCCAGCAGCCGCCGUAA